UACGAAGGUGGCAAGCGUUACUCGGAAUUACUAGGCGUAAAGGGCAGGUAGGCGGUCUCGUUAGUCUGUUGUGAAAGCUCCUUGCUUAACGGGGAGAGGCCAACAGAUACUGCGAGGCUUGAGUAUAGGAGAGGGUACUGGAAUUCCCGGUGCAGCGGUGAAAUGCGCAGAGAUCGGGAGGAACACCAAUGGCGAAAGCAGGUACCUGGACUAUUACUGACGCUCAGCUGCGAAAGCUAGGGGAGCAAACAGG
RNAcentral lists this ribosomal RNA (253 nucleotides) under uncultured bacterium. Its description in RNAcentral is "partial 16S ribosomal RNA". It matches the Rfam family "Bacterial small subunit ribosomal RNA", at positions 524 to 776 of the family's 1533-position model. The record is from RNAcentral.